CGCUGGGCAGUUGAUGAAAAAUACUAUGCCAGCAAGUGUAUCACGCGAGAUGAGAGAGAACGCAGAGAAGAACUCGGACGGCCGGAAAGCCGGACCGCGACGAAAACCCAUGUAAACCCUAGAAAUUGAAAAAGUUGGAUCGUCACAUUAGCCAUUACAAAGUGUAACGUGGUUGCGUAAAUUUAGCCGAAUUUACCAUCAUUUCUUUAACUUCCUGGUUCGAUCGGUUGAUCAGCUUAACCAGAUUUCAGCGCGUGUGGGAGUAAAAAGCCACGAAAGAGGGCAUAAAUUGUCACCAGAUUAACCAUAAUUAAAGCCACUUAGCGACCAGCGAAUUUAACCCGUGAGCAACAAGAGCAUUUGUGUGAGGAAAAGGUGAUAAAGGGCAAACUAUUCAUGUGAGUUGAAUUAUAUUUCCAUCUAAAUCAUGCGUAAUAAAAUCAAUAUUUUUUAGUUUUAAGCUACUACCAGAAAAGUUGCUGUAAAAAUUCAGUUUGUUCUGAGG
This is a long non-coding RNA of Culex quinquefasciatus (southern house mosquito), 505 nucleotides long. RefSeq lists it as uncharacterized. The record is from RefSeq and is a predicted model, not a curated record. The transcript has 3 exons. Lineage: Eukaryota; Metazoa; Arthropoda; Insecta; Diptera; Culicidae.